UCUCUUGCUAAGAGGUUGAUUGGUUCAUCUUUUUGGUUACCCCUCGGUAAAAACGUCCGUCAGCACGUUUGCAAACGCUUUGUCGUUCAAGCACAAGAUGGAAGACUUUUGCUAAGGCCGCAUCUGCGCAAGCUCUUCGUGGCGUAAGAUGUUCUUGCAACGAUCCCCAACGGAUUCAAGCCAGACCAGAUGCACUCGUUCGUCCACCUGAAUGUGCUUGUGGCCGAUGAUACGAGGGUCACGAGCCGUGACGGUAGCACAACUAGCAAGCCAGCUGACGCAUCAUCCAUCAAAACACAGACUUCCUUUCAACUCUACUCAUAUUCUGACCAAAGUCCACGCAAGGCGCCAAACGUGAUCAAAACAUCACGUCUCACCCGGACAUCUUCAUGGCACUGGAGAAAGAUAAGUCCAAGUGAUUUGGCGAGGCCCGCGGGGAACUACCGCAGGCGGGCUGUCGGGACGCUGGACAGCCGCCAAACAUCUCGUUAGUAGCGGCUCCGUGACGUGGCCUCGUUCCUCGACAAGGAAAGCCCGCUCUGCCUACUCUGCCUUUUUCCAACCGGCUCCUUGCUUGAGGUGGCACAAACGGGCUCACCUGGAUUCAAUCAAGCCAAAUGUGCUCACCUGGAUUCAACCACGCCAAACGUGCUCACCUGGAUUCAAUCAAGCCAAACGGGCUCACCUGGAUUCAAUCACGCCAAACGGGCUCACCUGGAUUCAAUCAAGCCAAACAGGCUCACCUGGAUUCAAUCACACCAAACGGGCUCAUUUGUGCCACUUCAGGCUCUCAUCGAGGAAAGAUGAAGUAAGCCUCAAUCUGAAAUAUUACGUAGAAAGUAUUUGCGGUUCGAUGCCGCCAAUUGAUGAGAAAGCAAGUUUUAGUCUUUCGGCUCAUCGUUCUAGCUACAUUUACAUUUAAAUCAAUGAAAAGUCCAAAAGCUUUUUGUGGAGUCUACAUUUCAGUCUUCAGCAAGACAAAACCGAACAGCCUUUUUGCCACUUUUUGCUUUGUCAGCAAGAGGACAAAGCUGAGAUUGCUUUUGAGCCCCAUCACACUGGAUUUCUCUGGGCAUGUUUGGUAAACAUAAGGGGAAGCGCCCCCUCAAGCCAACCUUCCCCGAUCUAUCCCUUGGCCAUUGUGAAGGCGGUGGCUGGCGACGUUUGCAAGUGUCAACAAGAUGGCCGCUCUUUUUAUGACACAUGCGUCCCCUCGCGUCGGAAGGAAUCCGUUUCACAGUGACAGCGACACGCGUUCACAGAUGAGCACGAGUGAAAAGGGGGGGCCUCCAUUGAGCAGGAAGGGAGCCGACUGGCCGGCCAGGUUCUACCCCGUGGAGAGAGUUUGGCGCACAACCAGGUUCCCAUGCACUGGCAUUUGCAAAGUUUCAGGGUGUGCCGAGUGAGUCUGAAGCCAGCGAGCCGACCAGCCAACGGGCCAGCCAGCCAGCCAGCCGGCCAGCCAGUCAGCCGGCCACCGAGCGGCGGCUGAACUUUUGAACCUGUCACCUUGCCUUUCUUCCCCACAACUGCAUGUGAACUUUGCCUGCUUUUGUGUUAUGAGCCGAAGAUGGACUCUGAGUGAACUUUCCACUCGUUCCCCGUUUGGACGCACGCAGGCACAAAUACUCCCCCCGACACGUGACGCGCGACAAACUCCAGCAGGAAUUCAUUAUCUCUUCGAACGUUUUGACUUAGUAAAUGAUUGCAACUAGA
Molecule: long non-coding RNA, 1716 nt
Organism: Syngnathus typhle (broad-nosed pipefish)
Lineage: Eukaryota; Metazoa; Chordata; Actinopteri; Syngnathiformes; Syngnathidae
Exons: 2
Source: RefSeq, a predicted model, not a curated record